GACGAACGCUGGCGGCGUGCCUAAUACAUGCAAGUCGAACGCUUCUUUCCUCCCGAGUGCUUGCACUCAAUUGGAAAGAGGAGUGGCGGACGGGUGAGUAACACGUGUGUAACCUACCCAUCAGAGGGGGAUAACACUUGGAAACAGGUGCUAAUACCGCCUAACAGUUUAUGCCGCAUGGCAUAAGAGUGAAAGGCGCUUUCGGGUGUCGUUGAUGGAUGGACCCGCGGUGCAUUAGCUAGUUGGUGAGGUAACGGUCCAGCAAGGGCACGAUGCAUAGCCGACCUGAGAGGGUGAUCGGCCACACUGGGACUGAGACACGGCCCAGACUCCUACGGGAGGCAGCAGUAGGGAAUCUUCGGCAAUGGGCGAAGGUCUGACCGAGCAACGCCGCGUGAGUGAAGAAGGUUUUCGGAUCGUAAAACUCUGUUGUUAGAGAAGAACAAGGACGUUAGUAACUGAACGUCCCCUGACGGUAUCUAACCAGAAAGCCACGGCUAACUACGUG
This 508-nucleotide ribosomal RNA is filed under the name uncultured bacterium. Its description in RNAcentral is "partial 16S ribosomal RNA". It matches the Rfam family "Bacterial small subunit ribosomal RNA", at positions 28 to 507 of the family's 1533-position model. The record is from RNAcentral.